This 283-nucleotide unclassified non-coding RNA is filed under the name Hevea brasiliensis (rubber tree). Lineage: Eukaryota; Viridiplantae; Streptophyta; Magnoliopsida; Malpighiales; Euphorbiaceae. The record is from RNAcentral.
AACACCCACGGAGGGCUUCACGUGUUAGGAGAUCACUUGAUGGAGAGACACACAAGAGAACAUAUGGUUCCGAGGGGAAUAUGAAGAUCCAAGAUAGAGAAUGUUCUCCAAAAGGAGAGAAUGAGUUAGUAGAAUCAUGUCAUAGGGUUGAUGAUUUUGAUUUCAUAGAGAAACAUAAAUCAGAUGAACUUCAAGUACCAGAACCUGACCAAGAAACCAAAAGUUGCUCUACUUACUUCCCACCUGAAUCAGUAGCGAGAAACCAGGAAGCGGUGAAACCGAG